Molecule: ribosomal RNA, 801 nt
Filed under: uncultured bacterium
Lineage: Bacteria
Description: bacterial SSU rRNA
Rfam family: Bacterial small subunit ribosomal RNA
Source: RNAcentral
CCUGGUGGCGAGUGGCGAACGGGUGAGUAAUGCAUCGGAACGUGCCCAUGUCGUGGGGGAUAACGUAGCGAAAGCUACGCUAAUACCGCAUACGCCCUGAGGGGGAAAGCAGGGGAUCGCAAGACCUUGCACUAUUGGAGCGGCCGAUAUCGGAUUAGCUAGUUGGUGGGGUAACGGCUCACCAAGGCGACGAUCCGUAGCUGGUUUGAGAGGACGACCAGCCACACUGGGACUGAGACACGGCCCAGACUCCUACGGGAGGCAGCAGUGGGGAAUUUUGGACAAUGGGGGAAACCCUGAUCCAGCCAUCUCGCGUGUGCGAUGAAGGCCUUCGGGUUGUAAAGCACUUUUGGCAGGAAAGAAACGUCAUGGGUUAAUACCCCGUGAAACUGACGGUACCUGCAGAAUAAGCACCGGCUAACUACGUGCCAGCAGCCGCGGUAAUACGUAGGGUGCAAGCGUUAAUCGGAAUUACUGGGCGUAAAGCGUGCGCAGGCGGUUCGGAAAGAAAGAUGUGAAAUCCCAGAGCUUAACUUUGGAACUGCAUUUUUAACUACCGGGCUAGAGUGUGUCAGAGGGAGGUGGAAUUCCGCGUGUAGCAGUGAAAUGCGUAGAUAUGCGGAGGAACACCGAUGGCGAACGCAGCCUCCUGGGAUAACACUGACGCUCAUGCACGAAAGCGUGGCGAGCAAACAUGAUUAGAUACCCUGGUACUCCACGCCCUAAACGAUGUCUACUAGCUGAUGGGGCCUUCGGGCAAUGGUAGCCGCAACUAACGCGUGAAGUUAACGACUGGGGAGU